This 560-nucleotide ribosomal RNA is filed under the name Celeribacter sp. RNAcentral's name for it is "bacterial SSU rRNA". It matches the Rfam family "Bacterial small subunit ribosomal RNA", at positions 227 to 804 of the family's 1533-position model. The record is from RNAcentral. Lineage: Bacteria; Pseudomonadati; Pseudomonadota; Alphaproteobacteria; Rhodobacterales; Roseobacteraceae.
CGGCCCGCGUUAGAUUAGUUAGUUGGUGGGGUAAUGGCCUACCAAGACUACGAUCUAUAGCUGGUUUGAGAGGAUGAUCAGCAACACUGGGACUGAGACACGGCCCAGACUCCUACGGGAGGCAGCAGUGGGGAAUCUUAGACAAUGGGGGCAACCCUGAUCUAGCGAUGCCGCGUGAGUGAUGAAGGCCUUAGGGUCGUAAAGCUCUUUCGCCUGUGAUGAUAAUGACAGUAGCAGGUAAAGAAACCCCGGCUAACUCCGUGCCAGCAGCCGCGGUAAUACGGAGGGGGUUAGCGUUGUUCGGAAUUACUGGGCGUAAAGCGCACGUAGGCGGAUUAGUCAGUCAGAGGUGAAAUCCCAGGGCUCAACCCUGGAACUGCCUUUGAUACUGCUAGUCUUGAGUUCGAGAGAGGUAAGUGGAAUUCCGAGUGUAGAGGUGAAAUUCGUAGAUAUUCGGAGGAACACCAGUGGCGAAGGCGGCUUACUGGCUCGAUACUGACGCUGAGGUGCGAAAGUGUGGGGAGGCAACAGGAUUAGAUACCCUGGUAGUCCACACCGUA